RNAcentral lists this ribosomal RNA (459 nucleotides) under uncultured bacterium. RNAcentral describes it as "partial 16S ribosomal RNA". It matches the Rfam family "Bacterial small subunit ribosomal RNA", at positions 28 to 523 of the family's 1533-position model. The record is from RNAcentral.
GAUGAACGCUGGCGGCGUGCCUAAUACAUGCAAGUCGAGCGGUAAGGCCUCUUCGGAGGUACACGAGCGGCGGACGGCUGAGUAACGCGUAGGAACGUACCCCAAAGUGAGGGAUAAGCACCAGAAAUGGUGUCUAAUACCGCAUGUGGCCCACGGGCUAAAGCUUCGGCGCUUUGGGAACGGCCUGCGUAAGAUUAGCUAGUUGGUGAGGUAAUGGCUCACCAAGGCGACGAUCUUUAGCUGGUCUGAGAGGAUGAUCAGCCAGACUGGGACUGAGACACGGCCCAGACUCCUACGGGAGGCAGCAGUAGGGAAUUUUCCACAAUGGGCGAAAGCCUGAUGGAGCAACGCCGCGUGCAGGAUGAAUGCCUUCGGGUUGCAAACUGCUUUUAUAUGCGACGAAUAUGACGGUAGCAUAUGAAUAAGGAUCGGCUAACUCCGUGCCAGCCGCCGCGGUAA